RNAcentral lists this ribosomal RNA (253 nucleotides) under uncultured bacterium. RNAcentral describes it as "partial 16S ribosomal RNA". It matches the Rfam family "Bacterial small subunit ribosomal RNA", at positions 524 to 776 of the family's 1533-position model. The record is from RNAcentral.
UACGUAGGUGGCAAGCGUUGUCCGGAAUUAUUGGGCGUAAAGCGCGCGCAGGCGGUCUUUUAAGUCUGAUGUGAAAGCCCACGGCUCAACCGUGGAGGGUCAUUGGAAACUGGGUGACUUGAGUGCAGAAGAGAAGAGCGGAAUUCCACGUGUAGCGGUGAAAUGCGUAGAGAUGUGGAGGAACACCAGUGGCGAAGGCGGCUCUUUGGUCUGUAACUGACGCUGAGGCGCGAAAGCGUGGGGAGCGAACAGG